This 494-nucleotide unclassified non-coding RNA is filed under the name Hevea brasiliensis (rubber tree). Lineage: Eukaryota; Viridiplantae; Streptophyta; Magnoliopsida; Malpighiales; Euphorbiaceae. The record is from RNAcentral.
AACUAAUGAAUGAGGUGGAGAAUGAGGACUUAGUUUUUACUCUGGAAACUAUAGUGGACAAAUUUGGAGAGGAGAUGGCACCUUAUGCUCUAGGUUUAUGCCAGAAUUUGGCUGCUGCAUUUUGGAGGUGUAUGAACACUGCUGAAGCUGAGGAUGAAGCUGAUGAUCCUGGUGCUUUGGCAGCGGUUGGUUGUUUACGAGCUAUAAGCACAAUUCUUGAAUCAGUUAGCAGGCUUCCUCAUCUUUUUGUCCAGAUUGAACCUACUUUGCUUCCUAUAAUGCGAAGAAUGUUGACGACUGAUGGUCAAGAGGUGUUUGAAGAAGUACUGGAAAUUGUUUCAUACAUGACCUUUUUCUCUCCAACAAUAUCUCUGGAUAUGUGGAGUCUUUGGCCUUUGAUGAUAGAAGCAUUGGCAGAUUGGGCUAUUGACUUCUUUCCAAAUAUUCUGGUUCCCUUGGACAACUACAUAUCAAGGGGAACUGCAAAUUUCCUC